Molecule: ribosomal RNA, 1444 nt
Filed under: Lactococcus lactis subsp. lactis
Lineage: Bacteria; Bacillati; Bacillota; Bacilli; Lactobacillales; Streptococcaceae
Description: bacterial SSU rRNA
Rfam family: Bacterial small subunit ribosomal RNA
Source: RNAcentral
CGAGGCGGCGUGCCUAAUACAUGCAAGUUGAGCGCUGAAGGUUGGUACUUGUACCGACUGGAUGAGCAGCGAACGGGUGAGUAACGCGUGGGGAAUCUGCCUUUGAGCGGGGGACAACAUUUGGAAACGAAUGCUAAUACCGCAUAAAAACUUUAAACACAAGUUUUAAGUUUGAAAGAUGCAAUUGCAUCACUCAAAGAUGAUCCCGCGUUGUAUUAGCUAGUUGGUGAGGUAAAGGCUCACCAAGGCGAUGAUACAUAGCCGACCUGAGAGGGUGAUCGGCCACAUUGGGACUGAGACACGGCCCAAACUCCUACGGGAGGCAGCAGUAGGGAAUCUUCGGCAAUGGACGAAAGUCUGACCGAGCAACGCCGCGUGAGUGAAGAAGGUUUUCGGAUCGUAAAACUCUGUUGGUAGAGAAGAACGUUGGAGAGAGUGGAAAGCUCAUCAAGUGACGGUAACUACCCAGAAAGGGACGGCUAACUACGUGCCAGCAGCCGCGGUAAUACGUAGGUCCCGAGCGUUGUCCGGAUUUAUUGGGCGUAAAGCGAGCGCAGGUGGUUUAUUAAGUCUGGUGUAAAAGGCAGUGGCUCAACCAUUGUAUGCAUUGGAAACUGGUAGACUUGAGUGCAGGAGAGGAGAGUGGAAUUCCAUGUGUAGCGGUGAAAUGCGUAGAUAUAUGGAGGAACAGCGGUGGCGAAAGCGGCUCUCUGGCCUGUAACUGACACUGAGGCUCGAAAGCGUGGGGAGCAAACAGGAUUAGAUACCCUGGUAGUCCACGCCGUAAACGAUGAGUGCUAGAUGUAGGGAGCUAUAAGUUGUCUGUAUCGCAGCUAACGCAAUAAGCACUCCGCCUGGGGAGAACGACCGCAAGGUUGAAACUCAAAGGAAUUGACGGGGGCCCUCACAAGCGGUGGAGCAUGUGGUUUAAUUCGAAGCAACGCGAAGAACCUUACCAGGUCUUGACAUACUCGUGCUAUUCCUAGAGAUAGGAAGUUCCUUCGGGACACGGGAUACAGGUGGUGCAUGGUUGUCGUCAGCUCGUGUCGUGAGAUGUUGGGUUAAGUCCCCCAACGAGCGCAACCCCUAUUGUUAGUUGCCAUCAUUAAGUUGGGCACUCUAACGAGACUGCCGGUGAUAAACCGGAGGAAGGUGGGGAUGACGUCAAAUCAUCUUGCCCCUUAUGACCUGGGCUACACACGUGCUACAAUGGAUGGUACAACGAGUCGCGAGACAGUGAUGUUUAGCUAAUGUGUUAAAACCAUUCUCAGUUCGGAUUGUAGGCUGCAACUCGCCUACAUGAAGUCGGAAUCGCUAGUAAUCGCGGAUCAGCACGCCGCGGUGAAUACGUUCCCGGGCCUUGUACACACCGCCCGUCACACCACGGGAGUUGGGAGUACCCGAAGUAGGUUGCCUAACCGCAAGGAGGGCGCUUCCUAAGGUA